This 332-nucleotide ribosomal RNA is filed under the name uncultured Gemmatimonas sp. RNAcentral's name for it is "bacterial SSU rRNA". It matches the Rfam family "Bacterial small subunit ribosomal RNA", at positions 568 to 898 of the family's 1533-position model. Lineage: Bacteria; Pseudomonadati; Gemmatimonadota; Gemmatimonadia; Gemmatimonadales; Gemmatimonadaceae. The record is from RNAcentral.
CGCGUAGGCGGCCUGAUAAGUCGGGGGUGAAAUCCUGUGGCUCAACCACAGGGCUGCCUCCGGGACUGUCGGGCUCGAGCACAGUAGAGGCAGGUGGAAUUCCCGGUGUAGCGGUGGAAUGCGUAGAGAUCGGGAAGAACAUCGGUGGCGAAGGCGGCCUGCUGGGCUGUUGCUGACGCUGAGGCGCGACAGCGUGGGGAGCAAACAGGAUUAGAUACCCUGGUAGUCCACGCCGUAAACGAUGGGCACUAGGCGUCGGGGGGAGCGACCCUCCCGGUGCCGUCGCUAACGCAGUAAGUGCCCCGCCUGGGGAGUACGGCCGCAAGGCUGAA